UUUCAAAAAUACUUGGUACAUAUUCUUAAUGGCACUUGGUUUCUUAAUCUACACACUGUUGUGAGAAUUUGUUCUGGGAGAUUCUUGUCUAAAUGGUACCUGGUUAUAAAACUCUUUCACUAAGUUUAACGCUUUUUUGUGACAGUACAAGCUGCUAUAUAGCUUCCAUAAAUCAUCUGCAUUGUAAAUUUGGUCAGCAAACGAAUAUUACGCCCAGUUUAAUCUACAAAUACCAAAGAAUUUCAUUGAGCAAGAAGAAUAAAAUAGAACAGUGACGUCAGCAAAAAAUUAUGCAUUGUAACUUUGACGAGACUUUAAGAAGAUUGUUAACUUAAAUUAAAAAUAGAUGGGGAGCUAGAAUAGUUCCAUUAAGGACCCCAAACUGGAUUUUCAGCUGUUUCGAGUUGUUAAUGUAAUUUAUACUAACAUGUUGUUGUAAUGUAGCAAAACAUUUCUUAGUUUGAUUUUUAAUGCCA
Non-coding RNA from Hydra vulgaris (swiftwater hydra), 476 nucleotides. The record is from RefSeq and is a predicted model, not a curated record. NCBI's taxonomy places the organism in Eukaryota, Metazoa, Cnidaria, Hydrozoa, Anthoathecata, Hydridae.